AGCUGAAUCGCCGGGCAAAUCUUCCUUGGCAGGGGGCUUACCAUUUUGCUUCAAUGAGCUUAAUUUCUUGCAGCUAAAAAUCUCCUGCCAGAGGAGUAUUGCCCAGCAAUGCACUU
Molecule: microRNA precursor, 116 nt
Filed under: Olea europaea subsp. europaea
Lineage: Eukaryota; Viridiplantae; Streptophyta; Magnoliopsida; Lamiales; Oleaceae
Description: mir-399 microRNA precursor family
Rfam family: mir-399 microRNA precursor family
About the family: mir-399 was identified in both Arabidopsis thaliana and Oryza sativa computationally and was later experimentally verified. mir-399 is thought to target mRNAs coding for a phosphatase transporter. The mature sequence is excised from the 3' arm of the hairpin.
Source: Rfam by way of RNAcentral